Molecule: long non-coding RNA, 461 nt
Filed under: Homo sapiens (human)
Lineage: Eukaryota; Metazoa; Chordata; Mammalia; Primates; Hominidae
Description: LNC_000139
Source: RNAcentral
CACUGUUUUAAGAGGUUUGGAAGUGAAAGAUGAAUUUGAAAUAGAAAUACAAUAGAAAAUGUGUGUGUGUGUGUGUGUGUCUGGAAGAAAACUGUUGGCUGAGGGAUUAAGCCAGUAGAGAGGGAAAGAUGAAUGAUGAGACAGUGGGAAUCAGUGGGUAUUGAAUGCAAAAUGGUCCUGGAGAAGGCAGAAGGGAAUUAAAUCAAUGGCCAAUGCUGAAGAAUUAGCAUUGAAAGAAGGAAAGACUCUUUUUUUCUGAGAUACAACACAAGGAAGUAAAGGUGGGUACAUAAGUGAUGAGUUGUGAGGUUGAGAUGGGAGAUGGUAGGGAGUCCUUAGAUGGCCUGUCAGUGUAGAAAUGGUGAGGGCUAGGGAAGGUUUUGCAGGGGAGGUGAUAUUUGAACUAGGAGAUGUCUUUAGUGAAGUAGGAAGUGAAGCCUUUUGCUGGGAAGAAAAUGGGG